Long non-coding RNA from Physella acuta, 406 nucleotides. RefSeq lists it as uncharacterized. NCBI's taxonomy places the organism in Eukaryota, Metazoa, Mollusca, Gastropoda, Physidae. The record is from RefSeq and is a predicted model, not a curated record.
ACCACACCGCCAUGUGAGAAGAAACCAGACAAGACACGACAACACUUUACUAGAACAAUCAACAGGUCCAACAAGAUGAAAACUGUUGUUGUGGUCAUCACAGUUUUGUUCAUUAUGGUCUUUCUUCUGUUUGAAAGAGGAGACUCAAUUGUUUCAUGGUGUAAAUACGGAUGGGAAGACUGUCGACCUCAGGACUGCGACCCGGUGUUUCGCCCAUGGAGUUGUGGUAUAGUCUCUAAGUGAUGAUUUAAUCUGACACAUCAACUCUGCCCUAUCCUACCAUUCAAUGAUGUCAAUUCUGGAGGAUGGAAUAUUUUUGGAAUGAUGCUUUAACGUAAAUAACACUUAUUCUAGGUUUAUAUGGUUAACUUGGUAAUAAAGCAUUUUUUUCAAAAUUCAAAAUCAA